AACAGAAAAUUUACUUGUUAUUUCAAAUAUUUUUCUUUUUUUCUUUUUUGUUUUUCUUUAAAAGAAGACUAUGAACAUUCUAGAACAAAAUGUGCUCAGGAUGGCUUUCAGCUGCUGUAUUCUUAGCUAAAGCCAAGACCCUUGGAAGUGCAGGUUUGGAUGGCAUUCUUAAAAAGUUUCUUGCUGCUUUUGAAAAAAGAAAUAUAGAUGAGAGAGAAAGAAAGAAGGAAGAAAAAUGUGAAGACUGAGAGAAAAUGUGAUUAAGCUUUUCAAUAGGUAGGACUUUUUUUCUGUGCUUUCUAUAGUUGGGGAACUUAGAUUUGAUCAGUCUGGUGCACUCCUUCCUGGCUUCCAGUUGACAUUUUUUGAGAGGCCUAUGCUACUGAUUUUAUAAAGAUGGAAGGAGGUGGUCCAAUAAGUGAGAAUAUCAUACAAUAAUUAAAUAAUGAGUUGUAGUAGAAGGAGAUAUCUUAUGGCAUGUAUUAUUUUUAUGCAUCUUUCCAGAUACCAGCGCUUCCAGUCUUUUCCUGAGACUCCUUGUGAUUGCUGUCAAAAU
RNAcentral lists this long non-coding RNA (556 nucleotides) under Phasianus colchicus (ring-necked pheasant). RNAcentral's name for it is "lncRNA (ENSPCLG00000004232.1)". Lineage: Eukaryota; Metazoa; Chordata; Aves; Galliformes; Phasianidae. The record is from RNAcentral.